UGUUACAUAUUUCCAGGUUUUCAAAAUAUAAUUCUCAAAAUGAAUAAUACUCCAAAUCAAUAAUUCUUGGCUCAUGAAUGGAGAAAGCUAUGUUCAUAGGCCGAGUUACGUAGUCAACCUAGAGUUGACCGUCUAUUUUCUCUAGGUAUAACAAUAAAUCAUUCGUUAAUCAAAAUGUUAAAAUUAUGAUUUUAAAUAUGCAAUUAUUUUGAAACAAAAGUUUAUCAUACACUUAAUUGAUACUUUCUGCAGCCAUUUUUUUUUCCAACAAAACAAAAGUUGAUUUUCUUAAAAGCAUAGUAAUAUCAAACCAAAACCCAAUUAAUAAUUAAGCUGACAAUAUAAAUCUCCAAGUUCAGAGUCAUAUAGAACAUUAUUUUCUUACUAUUUUUAAACCACCAUUGUUAAAAACUCGAAUAUACGGACGUAUGAUCAAAUGAAAUGGUUUGUUAGUGUGCUGAUUGACACUCUUAGAGAGAUAGCUAAGCACCAUGGGUGCCUAAAAUAGCCAAGUUUCGUGACAAAAUACUCUUGAAAGAGGGCAACAAAUGAUUGUCGGUGGUGCAAUGACGACGCCGAGUUGCAAUUGUGGGAAUUACACGCAUCUCAGCACUGCAAUUCGGCGUCCCUCAUUGCACCACAGAAAACCAUGUUGCGGAAGACUAGAUAUUCCUCUCGAAGUGAUCAAUCCCAAAACUUAUGUUUAAAACUGAAUGGCAGCACACUUUAUAUGGAGCUGUGUAAUGUGUAGUUGUCCAUUCUUUGAGUGAUACGAUAAGAUUUGUUUUAGAAAUUGAAG
RNAcentral lists this long non-coding RNA (799 nucleotides) under Olea europaea (common olive). RNAcentral's name for it is "long non-coding RNA (OEUR_LNC010922)". Lineage: Eukaryota; Viridiplantae; Streptophyta; Magnoliopsida; Lamiales; Oleaceae. The record is from RNAcentral.